RNAcentral lists this ribosomal RNA (327 nucleotides) under uncultured eukaryote. RNAcentral's name for it is "partial 18S ribosomal RNA". It matches the Rfam family "Eukaryotic small subunit ribosomal RNA", at positions 1470 to 1796 of the family's 1831-position model. The record is from RNAcentral.
CCCUUAGAUGUUCUGGGCCGCACGCGCGCUACACUGAUUCAUGCAACAAGUUUUGUCCUUGGCUGAUAGGCCUGGGUAAUCUUUGUACGUGAAUCGUGAUGGGGAUAGAUGAUUGCAAUUAUUCAUCUUCAACGAGGAAUUCCUAGUAAACGCAAGUCAUCAGCUUGCAUUGAUUACGUCCCUGCCCUUUGUACACACCGCCCGUCGCACCUACCGAUUGAAUGGUCCGGUGAAAUCUUCGGAUCUGAGAGAUGUCUGAUUAAUUUCGGACGCCUUUUGGAAAAGUUGUUUAAACCUUACCAUUUAGAGGAAGGUGAAGUCGUAACA